AUGUGGAACGGGUUUUUUAAAAAAAUCUCUUUGAGAGCAAGCAGUACUUCCCUUUUCCGUUGCCGUAAAACAGCUUCCCUUGCCCUUUUUCCUGUCCACCAUGUGAGAGGAAGAAACUUGCAGAAAACUGCCUACUGCUGCUGCUUGGAUUAAGUGUUUUGUCAGUAACCAGAAGGUAACUGUUGCUGAAGGAGAAGGAUAACACAAAAUGGCAGAAGCAGUUUUCCAUCCCCCAAAGAGGAAAAGAAAAGCCUACAGAUCAUAUGAUUCCCCAUUUCCUAUUUCUUCUUUCGGGGAAGACGGUUAUGGGAGAGGUUACAAAAUAUGUGAGGCUGAAAUUAUUAACAACAAUGUAAUUGUUAAUAAACCUGAUGAUAUAGAACAACUGUAUAGCAAGGGAUUUUUUGGGAAAGGAAUUAUUUCCAGAAGUCAGCCAGAAUACAGUAUUUCAGAUCCUGUAUUAGUUGCUAAGUGGCAAGAUGUCCGAUUAAACAUGCCUAUUGUUUCAUCAAAAAAGUACAAUUGUCAUGUAGAAUGGGCUAAAAGCCUUCUGCAAGACCAGGGACUUGAUGACGGCACAGUUGAGGCAACCAUUCUGAAAUACACAACUCCACUUAAUCUGAAAGAAGCAGCCAAACAAAAUAGUGAGUCUUGGGAUGAAAGAACCCCAGCCAUCGAGACAGCUGAAGAUGAACCCAAGGUUUUCACUAUUUCUGCUGACACAAACGGGACUAAAGCAGCCAGCCUAGAUGUCAAUCCCCUUCAUGACCCAUUAGCCAGGAGUGCUUCUAGUGAACUGGAUUCAACAGGCUUUCAAGCUGUAGCUAAAACUCACUCCACAAAACCAUGUCUGUUCAGUUUGCAUUACAGCUGCAAGCAAGAGGACUGUAUGAAACAAGAGUCUCAUAUUUUAAUGAAUAAAGAAAAUAGUCAUGAGUAUGUGUUGGUGGAAGAAGAAUCAAAUGUAUGUCUGGAAGAAGAAACAAGUGAGAAAUUGCAUUUGAUCAAAGAUGAAAAGUUGGUAUGCAAAAGAAAUCCAUUCACAAUUUUUGAAUAUUUGCAGCUCAGUCUAGAGGAGGCCUUUUUCUUGGUCUAUGCUCUGGGAUGCUUAAGUAUUUGUUACAAUGAGGCACCUUUAUCUAUUCUGAAGCUAUGGGAAGUGUUUAAUGAAGCACAACCCAAUUUUAGGAGUACAUACAUGGCAUAUCACUACUUCCGUUGUAAAGGAUGGGUCCCUAAAGUUGGAUUGAAAUAUGGGACUGAUCUCUUGUUGUAUCGAAAGGGACCUCCUUUUUACCAUGCCAGUUAUUCGGUCAUUGUUGAAUUAGUUGAUGAUGAUAAUUUUGAAGGGUCAUCCCGCAGACCUUUCAGCUGGAAGACGUUGUCUGGCUUGAACAGAACUACAGCAAAUGUUUCCAAGUAACUAGAGAAAACUAAUAGUAGUAGAAUACCAGGUGAAGAAGAGAUUGGAAAUAGUCAAAAAUAAUAGGAAUAUAAGCAGAAGAGAAGAAGGGGCCUAGUAAACAAGGCCAGAGCCAGCGAGCUGUAAUGCGAGCCUUCUGGAGCAAAGGCAGGAAGUAGAACUGUAUAUGUCUGACUUUGAUGAUCUUUGCCUCUCAUAGUGAUAUGGAGGGGUUAAGAGAAGAAAAGUACUUGCAGAGCAAAGUUUGUCCUUGAUCUCAAAACAGAAAGUAAAAGCCUGUGCUUUUCUCAAAUGUAAACAAUUCUGUAGCGUGGGUUCUGUAUCUAAUCACUGGUAGUUAAAAUUUUUCUCACGGUGGUGUGGAACAACUAUCGUUUCCAUUGGUUGAGAAGAAUGAUAGACAGAGUCCAUAGCAAAUAGGAAACAGCAAGACGUCUCUUAAGCUUAGUGUAACACUUGGAUUGGAGGAGUCCCACACAUCAGUAGCUUGUCCCAUUUUCAGAUGGAUGCUUCUGGGUGCACUGAAGCUCUUCUUCCCCAAGCUAGGGCUGCUUCAAGUAUCUGAAGAGGGAACUCUCCUAUAGUCCGGACCAUCUGUGCCUUGGUUUGCUGUGCCGUGGCCAGUGAGUCAAACUUCAUGUUUCAAGGACAAAGGAGAAAAGGUCCAAUUCCAUGCUUCAAGUAAUCAAAAUGUAUUAGACCACAUGUGUAGCAAAUUUCAGCUUUCUAACUCCUAUGGAAGUACUUGAAACAUUUAAGGGACAUGUAUUUAAGCAUUUUCACACUUUUCUAAUAAUUGAGAUAAUGACAUCCACAUGUAUUGAUUGUCAUGUUCUAGCUGGUGAAGAAAGACAGUAAAUGUUUUUAUUUGCUGUAAAAUGAGGAAGAAAAAUAAUUUAUAUAGCACUUUUCAAACAUUUUGUUUUUCCUGUUGGUAAUAAAACAGCAUCCUUUUUUUGAGAUAGACACUUAUAAUUUCCAUUUUACACACUAGAAGGAUGUUUGUCUACAACAUGUGGCUGUAUCUUAAGAAUUGCCGGUGAAGGUGCUGCUGUAGACCAGGACCGCUAAUUUUAUACUCAUAAAUACACACACCUACCUAACUUCUCACUUGUUUCUUGUGGUCUUGGAGAAGACCCUCUGGAGUUACAAAGAGGAACAAUUUCAGUGUGCACAAGACUGUUGGGCCAAAUACAGAGAAGUGUAAGCAGAGCUUUAUUUGUACAGUGGGGGGUUCCUCCUCUCCAUUGCAACCCCCUGUUCCAAAACCAUGCUCCUUGAGAAACUUCAGAUAGCAUGGGAUGGGGUGUAGGAUGAGGAAAUUAUGGGAGCCACCUUAUACAAAUGGAAAUACCUUUCUGUUUGUGCAACACACCUUUGAAUCCAACCGAUAAGAAUCCUGGCAUUAGUUAGGAUCAAGCUGUGUGAGAGAGAGUGACGGCAUCCAGUGGGUCUGUGGUUGGAUAGAGAUUUGGACUUGAGUCUGCUUAAUCCAAGCUGAACACUACAGCAUAUUCAUUGACCCACACCAGCCCUCUCUGCCUCAUUACCAUUAUUCAGGUGAAGAGUAAAUGUAUACCCCUUAAUUUGGUGGUAUUACUAUUUUAUCCAAACUUUUACUUUCAACCAAAUGCAGGUUUCAGGAAUAUGCUUUGGUAUAGUUAAAUGGUUUUAAUUGUUCUGUUUUGUGUAUAACUGAUUUGCCAACAGGAGCUUAUGUUCUGCUAUUUAAUUAAACCGUCUAAUAUGACUACAAAAGAAAUGUCAUCACCAGAAUGUCUAAAAAGAAUUAAAGUUCAGGAAUUAAUUCUAAAUCGUUGGGUCUCAUCUCGUGAGCGCAGUGAACAAGAGGAAUUAU
This is an RNA transcript of Hemicordylus capensis (graceful crag lizard), 3281 nucleotides long. It is a transcript of the gene named tRNA splicing endonuclease subunit 2, with no coding region annotated. The transcript has 12 exons. The record is from RefSeq and is a predicted model, not a curated record. NCBI's taxonomy places the organism in Eukaryota, Metazoa, Chordata, Lepidosauria, Squamata, Cordylidae.